GGGUCUUGCUUUCCAAAAGCUUACUAGAUAGGACGCACGUUUUGAGUUAUGCUGCAGUAGGUUUUUGGUUAUAUAUGAAUCCCUUUGUCCUUUAUAGGAAGGUGAGUGGAUAUCCAAGUGUACCCCGAACACCAUUACUGUGUUUCCCUGCUGGCAUCAUUUCAUUUUCUUUUGAGUAUCUACAGUCAUGUUCCCCAGGUAAAUGAUUUUCCUUGCAAUUCUUUGCAUGAUAAGAGCUCCAUUGUGCUCAGCUGAGAUUUUUCCUUUUCCAGUUUCAGGUGGAGGGAGGAGGGACGAGCACAGGUUUCUCAGCUUGUCCUGGUCUUGUUACACAGCGGAGCAGCUGUCUCUUUUCAAGAGGUUUUCUCUGCUUCCACAUUUGCACUCGGCUUGUGCUGGACUGGACACUCAGAAGUACACCAGGCAGUUGUCACAAUCAAAUAUUAUUUAUUUGGAGACUCUGUAG
This 466-nucleotide long non-coding RNA is filed under the name Anas zonorhyncha (Eastern spot-billed duck). Its description in RNAcentral is "lncRNA (ENSAZOG00000006483.1)". Lineage: Eukaryota; Metazoa; Chordata; Aves; Anseriformes; Anatidae. The record is from RNAcentral.